GUGGCUGACUGAGCAGCAGCACGGACGUGUAUAGGAGGAGCUCCGACUGACUAUCGGCAUAUUAGCCAAUAUAGACUGAAAAGCUCCACGGACACCCUGCUUUAACUUACCAGCUGACAGCAUGGGACGCAAGCACUGGAGAUAUUAAAUUCCAGAGACCCCAGAACUGCCUGAUAUUCUUUUGAGCAGCCCGUUUCAACCAGUGUGUCAAAGAUGGCGUCUGCAGCGUGAGCGGAGGUUGAAGCCUCAGAGGACACGUGUGAGGAGACUUAGGGGCCCAUUUCUCUCCAGGCGGCUAAAGUAUAUCAGGAGUUUGACUCAGAUGAUGACUCUUCCCCGGCAAUGAAGGGGGACAUAAAGAGUCUCCUACAAUAUGUGAGGAAGGUAUGGAAAGCCGACCUCCUAGAGGCCCAAACCGAAAUGGAGAUUGAUUCAGUGGAAACUAAAGAGAAAGUCAGAGAGAGAAAGAUGCAGAAUACCCAGAACCAAGUGGACAAUCUCCACCAACAAAUUUAGACACUCACUAGAUCGGUCACAGCACUGGAAAAAAGACACAGGAGAUGCAAUAUACAACUAAAAGGUAACCCAGAACAGAUAUGAAGGGAGGCACUGCUGCCAUUUACCCAGAGACUACUGGCAUCUCUAAGCCUAAAGGGUGGUGCAGACCGCAAUAUGUUCACAUCCGCCUUCGAUAUCGCGGCUCUCGUCACUAUCAUGAACCGAUUUAGGGAGCUCGGCAACAUACACUUUGAAGGCUGCACAGUGGCGAUCUAUGGGGAUCUCCAAUUCACAGUACUAUCGGAACAGAUACAACUAGCCUUGAUAGCCGCACGACUGCGGAACGCUGCAAUCAAGUACCGAUGGGGAGCGGAUGGCUCACUGAUCGUGACACAAGGCAACACAGCACUCACCCUGACCUCGCAUGGCGACUCUAACAAUUUUUUUCUGCGACUGCACAUGGUUGCGAUCCAACCUGAAAGAACACCUACCUCGGGAACCCCAACCUGAAACACAUGCAAUAAUAUAGAAUGCAAGGUACAGUCCCAUUACCCAAAAUACCUGUUUUAGUCAAAUUACUAAAAUAUGAAGCCUAGAUUAGCUAAUGACACAUGCUAGGUAAUGACACAUUCCAUAUGAGCCAAGAUACGUUCUCAGUAGUGUCCCCGAGUUAUAACCUAUAACAUAAGAUAACGCUAAGACCUAGGGGCCACUAGGUACCAACCAUGCAAACACCAUGCAUUAACCAAGCCAUAGGCAAU
Molecule: non-coding RNA, 1259 nt
Organism: Pelobates cultripes (western spadefoot toad)
Lineage: Eukaryota; Metazoa; Chordata; Amphibia; Anura; Pelobatidae
Source: the annotation of a GenBank genome assembly